Molecule: ribosomal RNA, 802 nt
Filed under: Pseudomonas sp.
Lineage: Bacteria; Pseudomonadati; Pseudomonadota; Gammaproteobacteria; Pseudomonadales; Pseudomonadaceae
Description: bacterial SSU rRNA
Rfam family: Bacterial small subunit ribosomal RNA
Source: RNAcentral
UUCUCUUGAGAGCGGCGGACGGGUGAGUAAUGCCUAGGAAUCUGCCUGGUAGUGGGGGAUAACGUUCGGAAACGAACGCUAAUACCGCAUACGUCCUACGGGAGAAAGCAGGGGACCUUCGGGCCUUGCGCUAUCAGAUGAGCCUAGGUCGGAUUACCUAGUUGGUGAGGUAAUGGCUCACCAAGGCGACGAUCCGUAACUGGUCUGAGAGGAUGAUCAGUCACACUGGAACUGAGACACGGUCCAGACUCCUACGGGAGGCAGCAGUGGGGAAUAUUGGACAAUGGGCGAAAGCCUGAUCCAGCCAUGCCGCGUGUGUGAAGAAGGUCUUCGGAUUGUAAAGCACUUUAAGUUGGGAGGAAGGGCAUUAACCUAAUACGUUAGUGUUUUGACGUUACCGACAGAAUAAGCACCGGCUAACUCUGUGCCAGCAGCCGCGGUAAUACAGAGGGUGCAAGCGUUAAUCGGAAUUACUGGGCGUAAAGCGCGCGUAGGUGGUUUGUUAAGUUGGAUGUGAAAUCCCCGGGCUCAACCUGGGAACUGCAUUCAAAACUGACUGACUAGAGUAUGGUAGAGGGUGGUGGAAUUUCCUGUGUAGCGGUGAAAUGCGUAGAUAUAGGAAGGAACACCAGUGGCGAAGGCGACCACCUGGACUAAUACUGACACUGAGGUGCGAAAGCGUGGGGAGCAAACAGGAUUAGAUACCCUGGUAGUCCACGCCGUAAACGAUGUCAACUACCCGUUGGAAGCCUUGAGCUUUUAGUGCGCAGCUAACGCAUUAAGUUGACCGCCUGGGGAGUAC